GACGAACGCUGGCGGCGUGCCUAAUACAUGCAAGUUGAGCGAUGAAGAUUGGUGCUUGCACCAAUUUGAAGAGCAGCGAACGGGUGGGUAACGCGUGGGGAAUCUGCCUUUGAGCGGGGGACAACAUUUGGAAACGAAUGCUAAUACCGCAUAAUAACUUUAAACAUAAGUUUUAAGUUUUAAAGAUGCAAUUGCCUCACUCAAAGAUGAUCCCGCGUUGUAUUAGCUAGUUGGUGAGGUAAAGGCUCACCAAGGCGAUGAUACAUAGCCGACCUGAGAGGGUGAUCGGCCACAUUGGGACUGAGACACGGCCCAAACUCCUACGGGAGGCAGCAGUAGGGAAUCUUCGGCAAUGGACGAAAGUCUGACCGAGCAACGCCGCGUGAGUGAAGAAGGUUUUCGGAUCGUAAAACUCUGUUGGUAGAGAAGAACGUUGGUGAGAGUGGAAAGCUCAUCAAGUGACGGUAACUACCCAGAAAGGGACGGCUAACUACGUG
Molecule: ribosomal RNA, 497 nt
Filed under: uncultured bacterium
Lineage: Bacteria
Description: partial 16S ribosomal RNA
Rfam family: Bacterial small subunit ribosomal RNA
Source: RNAcentral